GAGUUUGAUCCUGGCUCAGAAUGAAUGCUGGCGGCAUGGAUUAGGCAUGCAAGUUGAACGAGAAUCUAACUUCGGUUAGAGGAAAGUAGCGAAAGGGUGAGUAACGCGUGAAUAAUCUGCCCCCAAGUUUGGAACAACAGUUGGAAACGACUGCUAAAACCGGAUGUGGAUAUAAGGUCGCAUGAUCUAAUAUCUAAAGGAAACGCUUGGGGAUGAGUUCGCGUGCCAUUAUGUUAGUUGGUAAGGUAACGGCUUACCAAGACUAUGACGGCUAGGUGGUCUGAGAGGACGAUCACCCACACUGGGACUGAGACACUGCCCAGACUCCUGCGGGAGGCUGCAGUCGAGAAUCUUCCGCAAUGCGCGAAAGCGUGACGGAGCAAUGCCGCGUGAUCGAAGACGGCCUUCGGGUUGUAAAGAUCUGUCAGGGGGGAAAAACGAUGAUGGUACCCCCAGAGGAAGCCACGGCUAACUACGUGCCAGCAGCCGCGGUAAUACGUAGGUGGCGAGCAUUAUUCGGAAUUACUGGGCGUAAAGGGUCCGCAGGUGGUUAACUAAGUCAGAUGUGAAAUUUCAGUGCUCAACACUGAACCUGCAUUUGAAACUGGUAAACUAGAGUAUGUGAGAGGUAAGCGGAAUUUGUGGUGUAGCGGUGGAAUGCGUAGAUAUCACAAGGAAGACCAAAGGCGAAGGCAGCUUACUGGCACAAUACUGACACUCAUGGACGAAGGCUAAGGUAGCGAAAAGGAUUAGAUACCCUUGUAGUCUUAGCAGUAAACGUUGUACACUCGAUGUUGGUCUGGUUAGUCGGAUCAGUGUCUAAGCUAACGCGAUAAGUGUACCGCCUGGGAAGUACGGUCGCAAGACUAAAACUCAAAGGAAUUGACGGGGGCCCGCACAAGCGGUGGAGUAUGUGGCUUAAUUCGAUGCAACGCGAAGAACCUUACCUAGGCUUGACAUGCAUCUCUAAGCACGUGAAGGCGUGUGACCCUUCGGGGGAUUUGCACAGGUGCUGCAUGGCCGUCGUCAGCUCGUGUCGUGAGAUGUUGGGUUAAGUCCCGCAACGAGCGCAACCCUUGUGAUUAGUUGCCAGCACGUAAUGGUGGGAACUCUAGUCAGACUGCCCAGAUCAACUGGGAGGAAGGUGGGGACGACGUCAGGUCAGUAUGGCCCUUACGCCUAGGGCUGCACACGUACUACAAUGCUCAGUACAAUUAGAACCGAUACCGCGAGGUGGAGGAAAUCUGUAAAACUGGGCUCAGUUCGGAUUGGAGGCUGCAACUCGCCUCCAUGAAGUUGGAAUCGCUAGUAAUGGGGCAUCAUCUACGGCCCCGUGAAUACGUUCCCGGGUCUUGUACACACCGCCCGUCACAUCAUGGAAGCCGGUAGCACCCUGAAGUAUUGUUCAAUCAAUCCUAAGGUGAAGCUGGUAACUGGGAUGAAGUCGUAACAAGGUAGCCGUAGGGGAACCUGCGGCUGGAUCACCUCCUUUCU
Molecule: ribosomal RNA, 1494 nt
Filed under: uncultured organism
Description: bacterial SSU rRNA
Rfam family: Bacterial small subunit ribosomal RNA
Source: RNAcentral